Molecule: ribosomal RNA, 253 nt
Filed under: uncultured bacterium
Lineage: Bacteria
Description: partial 16S ribosomal RNA
Rfam family: Bacterial small subunit ribosomal RNA
Source: RNAcentral
UACGAAGGGUGCAAGCGUUACUCGGAAUUACUGGGCGUAAAGCGUGCGUAGGUGGUUUGUUAAGUCCGAUGUGAAAGCCCCGGGCUCAACCUGGGAAUGGCAUUGGAUACUGGCAGGCUAGAGUGCGGUAGAGGGCAGUGGAAUUCCCGGUGUAGCAGUGAAAUGCGUAGAGAUCGGGAGGAACAUCUGUGGCGAAGGCGACUGCCUGGACCAGCACUGACACUGAGGCACGAAAGCGUGGGGAGCAAACAGG